Molecule: non-coding RNA, 1843 nt
Organism: Danio rerio (zebrafish)
Lineage: Eukaryota; Metazoa; Chordata; Actinopteri; Cypriniformes; Danionidae
Source: RefSeq, a predicted model, not a curated record
UGAAGCUCCUCCUCCUCCAGUGAAGCUCCUCCUCCUCCAGUUCAGCUGUAAACACUGUGAUAUUCCCAUCAGGCUCCAGUGAAGAGUUUAUUGAAGGACAGCGAGAACAUGAGUGAUCCAGAACCCUGCAGAAUUAAACAUGAAGACACUGAACAACAAAUAGUAAAGCUCCUCCUCCUCCAGCGAAGCUCCUCCUCCUCCAGUGAAGCCCCUCCUCCUCCAGUGAAGCUCCUCCUCCUCCAGUUCAGCUGUAAUCACUGUGAUAUUCCCAUCAGGCUCCAGUGAAGAGUUUAUUGAAGGACAGCGAGAACAUGAGUGAUCCAGAACCCUGCAGAAUUAAACAUGAAGACACUGAACAACAAAUAGACCUAAUUGAAGAGAAUAAGGUUAAAGAGGAAGAACAUCAUGUCAAAGUUGAGGACAAAAGUAAUUUACAGACUGACGGUAAUAAGAUAAAGAAAAAGAAAAACAAGAAUUGUUUCAUCUGCACUCAGUGUGGACAGUGUUGUGAAGGAAAAGCCAAUCUUCUGAUUCACAUGAGGAUCCACACUGGAGAGAAACCGUUCACAUGCACCCAGUGUGGGAAGCGUUUCAGCCGACUAGCACAUCUUAAUCAACACAUGAGGAUCCACACUGGAGAGAAACCAUUCACAUGCACUCAGUGUAAGAAGAGUUUCAGCAGCUCAUCGAACCUUAACAUACACAUGAUGAUCCACACGGGAGAGAGACCGUUCAUAUGCACCCAAUGUGGGAAGAGUUUCACCCACUUAUCAAACCUUAAUCAACACAUGAGGAUCCACACUGGAGAGAAACCGUUCACUUGUACUCAUUGUGGGAAGGGUUUCAUACAGUCCUCAAACCUUAAUCAACACAUGAUGAUCCACACUGGAGAGAGACCGUUCAUGUGCACUCAGUGUGGGAAGGGUUUCAGGCAAUCAUCGCACUUUAAUCUACACAUGAAGAUCCACGGUGGUGUGAAAGAGUUCAUGUGCUUGGAGUGCGAGGACACUUUUACUACAGCUGGAGAAUUGAAACUGCACCAGAGCAUUCACACUGGAGAGAAACCUGAGGCGUGAUCAGUGUCUAUACAGAGGUUCUGUCAUUCAGCACAGCUUACAGGAACAAGUGGACAUAAAGCUGCACACAUGACGUAAAUACAGCAAACACUCUCUCAUGUAAGAGGAUGCUUCAUGUCUGAAUAAUGUUUGAAAAGGCUGAGUGACGGUAUACUGUUUUCCAACACUCUGCACUGCAGUGGGUGGGGUUGUAAAUGUGUUGCGCUGCUCACAUGCACAGCUAAACACAAUGAUGGCGGCUGAGAGAAGAACAGUUUCAUAAACAUCCUGCAAACAGCACCUCUCCUCUUCACAUGGUUUUCUAUUAGCUGUGGACAGACACUGAGUGGUGCAGAUGUGUGCAAACUCAUAGAAAAGAUGUGGCGUGACGAGGUGGGCUUCUGGAUUUGGUGUGUGCCUCCAUCCGAGUCUUUAAAAUCGUAUCAGGUGCGGAUAUAUCUGUACAGCUCUGCUGCUCCACUCUCCAGUGUGUUCAUGUGGCUAGUGUUGCUGUCUGACCCCCUGAAUGAGAAGCAAAUCAAUGGAAAACCGCACAUCAAUGAAGGCAGAGCACCAGGAGACACCCACUGGUUGCAUAAUUGACAAUGGUAGCUCAAAGGUGUUUAGGAGCCAAAACCAAGCUGUUUCCAACUGCUUAAAUGAACUCAAGAAGAACGUUAUUUCAGCCAGAGUUUGGUUUGCAGUAUACCAACGCCUUAAGUUUGGAAAUCCUAUUAAUUUGUCUUGUGUAUUUGCUUCUUUUAUUGAUAAAGUUUCCUUACUUUCAA